Molecule: transfer RNA, 67 nt
Filed under: Zootoca vivipara (common lizard)
Lineage: Eukaryota; Metazoa; Chordata; Lepidosauria; Squamata; Lacertidae
Description: tRNA-Arg
Source: RNAcentral
AAGGGGUUAGUCUAAUUAAGACUACUAAUUUCGACUUAGAAAAUUCUGACUACAUCAGAACCCCUAA